GAAUACACGCGAGGGGGUGGGCGGCCCAGGGAAGCUACUGGUGCGAACUGUAAACUUAAUCCUGGCAGCUUCACAGUCAGGGGAGUGUUUCUACCCGCAGGCAAGAACGGGCCCGAUUUCCGGCAGGGGCGCGCGGAGGACGCUGACGGGGGCUGUUUUUGCGCGGGCGGAGGGUGCGGCGGGGGAAACCGAGGCCCGCCGGGAGCGCAGCCCAGAGGGGCCCGCAGCCCAGGGGGGCCCGCGAGAGCGCUGGUCCGCGGGCGGCGGGGCGCGAGGCUGCCGUCGAGCCGGCCUGCUGAGGGAGCAGGUGGAAGCGCAGGGACCAACGGGGGCACCGGGGCAGGACUGCGGCCAGCGAGGCGGCGUGUGAGAGCGGGCGAGCGAGGGAGCCACUUGGUCAUAGAUUCCAGGUAUCAGGAUAUGACCUGAUGAAUCCACCAGGCUACCUAAAAAAAUGCACAUAGAAAACAAAGCAAGGCAGAAAUUACAAGAGUGCUGAUGCUGUGCCCUUGGACCAAGACCAGGUGCUAGGUCAAUGCUGGGAUGAGAAGAUGCACAAGAUGACCCCUCUUUCCAUCAGUGAGGACACCAUCUCUGAUCACAAAGUAACAAGUCUGAUACCGUGUGAGCAGAUCAACAGGUUGCUUGCCUCUGUGUAGACACGGUUCACCCUAAAUAAAACACCAUAACAAAAUCCACAGGGACAGUGGUAGUGUGAUAAUAAUAAGCUUCCCAGCACUUUGAGAAUGAUCCCAAGGGAUCUAAGUUUAAGGCUUGAGUUGUGUUAAGGUAGCAGAGUGUGAAGAGAAGAAGGUACCACUGUUCUGUUUUGGGUUCAACUCUUCCUUCAGCCCCGCUUCCUGGUCCCACAGCAGUUCCCCCAGACUUCCUAUUCCUUCUAUGACCACAUUAUAGGGACAAUAGUAGAGACCUUUGUGUUCAGAGUCUGAGUAACAGAAUUCCCACCCCCGCACCAUGAAUCAAGUGAACUGUAUUGCACAUUGAAUAAGUGAUUUAAACCCAUUAGCCAGAUUCAAACAUAAGUUGGUAUGGAAGGACUGGGACUAUCAUCAAUUUGCUGUCUACCUUCUCUCGUUUUCACCAGAAUCAUAAAAAGCAAUACUAACAAUGUAAUCACUAAGUCUUUCCUUGAAUGUCUACCCCUAAACUCCUGCCAACAGCCUCCUAUGUAAGGACAGAGCUACAAAAAUGUGUAAGACACACACACCCUACUUACAGUGCAGCCAGAAUAUACAGCAUCAAGGACUGCAUGGGUCAAGGAGAAGAGCCCUGAAGAAGAAUCACCACUGGUGAAGAGAAAUGUCAAGCACAGGAGCACAGAGGAGCCACAGGAAGCCAAUGAGACCACAUAGCUAUACAGUGCAGCCUAGAAGGACAAGUGGGCACAAUGGCACUAUCUUUGUGGUUAACAUUUUUGUACAACUUGGCAAGACUUCAGGGUGUUUUUCACAAGUAGAUUUGAGUACUACAAAUGCCAAAAUAAAAGUGCCUCUAGGACCAGGAUGCUUAUGUUCAUUUCAUGAACCUGAAUGGUAUUCUGUCAUACUAGUUGGUGUUGCCAGAUGUUGCCUAUGGUGAGGAUGGUGGUGAUAUGGACAUCCUUAGCAAAUCAGUCCAGGAUUUGAUUAGAUCUGGCUUUCCCAGCACUCAUUGCACACAGCCAGCAAAGAUCCCAGGCCUCAGUUCUCAGCAUCAUUUUAAGAGUGCCCCCCCCAAUCCUGCUCCCUUUCCACUUGAAAUCGUGCUCCUCAGAACAUGAUGCAAAUUUUGCAGCCACCUCCACCAUCCUGAGAAAUGCAUGGGAGGCAGAGAUUGCUGCCUUGAAAAUGUUCAUGGGAAGCAUAAUUCUGAUCCCCAGGCGUGCCUUGGGAUUUUAAUAUUUUAAAUAACACCAGAUACUACUUGCUUAUAAAAAUGCCCCUGGGUCAACCGUCUUUUCUGCAUAUUGGCUUUUGGGAAAUGUAGAGUCAAAAGUCUACAAAGGGGAAACACAGAGAUGAGAGCUCUUUUUGUGAACAUGAAUAUUACUAUCCCAUACCCUACCUUUCAUUUUGAGUGUUAAACCUCCUUGGAGACAGGAUACUUAUGUGAUUUUGCUUUGUGCCCCCAUGGAGUUCACACUGUGCUUUGGUUCACUCUAUGCAGUUCAGGCUGGCCUUGAGCUCACUUUGUAGCCCAGGCUGGUCUUGAACUCCCAAUGAUCCUCCUGCCUCAGCCUCCUGAGUAAGUGCUGAGAUUACAGGUGUGCGCCACCAAUCCUGGCUGUCAUGGUCUAUUUGAUUUGUAUCAAAAACUAAAAACAAAACCAUGUGUUUUUCAUUCCUUUCAUGAUCUGAUCUGACUUUUUCUAGGCAAAACGAUAUGUAUUUAUGAGGCUAAAUGAAAUAUUCUAUGCUGGACUAAAAUCAAACAGUCUAAACCAAUGUCAUGCAGCCAUGAUGCUGGAGGAGAGACCUGGAAUGUAUUAUUGCAGACUUGAUGAUGCAGUUCCUGGGAAAGAGAAAAUUCAUUCUACUAAAAUAGAAAAUCAACCAUGCCACUUGCCCAAAAUUAGUUUGCAUACAGCUAAAUUCUUCUGUGGACUAUGUAAACUCUUUCAAGGAAAAUACCAUUGUUUUCUAUCUGAAAUUGUCAAGCAUGGGAUUUAUGCUCUAAAAGUUAUAUUUUGGGAAAACUAAGCCAUAGAAUAAUAGUAGGCAGACAAAUGAGUGACAGAAAUGUAGUUUUAUUUCACUAUUCAAUUUGAGGCAGUGAAGGAGGAAGCUCCACAACUACAGACAAUGCUGACGUCCUUGAGGAGACUUCCCCACACUCAACAACUGGGCCACAUGGCCUGAUCAUAGCCUGUGUGGAACUACCAAGGCCAAAGGGACAGAUGCGUAUUUUAUGGCAAUUUGUCUGCCCAAAAGGGGCACCAGAUAAAAUUUGCAUAAUGAACUAUAAAUUGCAGAUGAGGGAAAUUGAGGUAUUAUGGAGCCUGAAGCUUACUUAAUUUGUGAAACUCAUUUUUAAAAGAACACCAAAGAUGGACAUAAAAUUGUGAAUGUUUCUGCCAGCACCAUGGAAGGAGCUCCUGAAAGUGAGCCUCAUGAAGUUUAAGCUUCCUUAGCACCUUGGGCAUUCAGAGAGGUGAUAUCAAGUGGAUCAAGCCUGGACAUAUUUGCUGCCUAGAAAAAUCCACUUGCACACGUCAGUCACCACAGUGGAGGUCAGGAAUAGGGGUUUGAUGUUGGGUGCAAUCAGCAAACCCAUAGCAUCUCUAUGUCAAGGCCACAGCAACCUUAAAAAUGAAGCCAUUGCUGGAGUUAUUGAUAUAAAAGAGCUGCUUUCUUAGGCAGAUAGACCUAAGAAAAGUCAUCAACAAACACACUGUGGUCAAGUCACUGUGCUCAAGUGUUCCACACGCAUCAUCUUCUGGGAUCCUUGAAACACUUAAAUAGGUCUCCAGCUGCUCCCUUUCCCCUCAACCUUUUGAAGGCUUUUGAAGCUUCUCUUGGACUCCACCAGCAGAGGUAGGGAGCUAACAGGAGUUUCAAGUGGAUGUCUCCUGGGAAGCAAGCGGGCAACUUUACUUUUAGAUGAUAAGAGAAGCAAAGGAAGUAAAUGGUUAAUCAAAGAAGCAAAUGGAGGGGCUGGAGAGGGGCUGGGGAUUUAGCUCAGUGGCACAGUGCUUGCCUGGCAAG
This is a long non-coding RNA of Chinchilla lanigera (long-tailed chinchilla), 3704 nucleotides long. RefSeq lists it as uncharacterized. The record is from RefSeq and is a predicted model, not a curated record. The transcript has 4 exons. Lineage: Eukaryota; Metazoa; Chordata; Mammalia; Rodentia; Chinchillidae.